RNAcentral lists this ribosomal RNA (433 nucleotides) under uncultured bacterium. RNAcentral's name for it is "partial 16S ribosomal RNA". It matches the Rfam family "Bacterial small subunit ribosomal RNA", at positions 29 to 507 of the family's 1533-position model. The record is from RNAcentral.
AACGAACGCUGGCGGCAUGCUUAACACAUGCAAGUCGAACGAUACCUCCGGUUCUUGCGCCGGAGGGUUAGGUACGGAGGGGGAACUAGCCCUUAGGUUAGGAAUACUUUCCCGAAGGGGAUCGUAUGACCGGGUAUUGUCUUCGGACAAAUGCUUGCUGCCUUUUGGGUGGGCCCUCGUUGGAUUAGUUAGUGGGUAGGGUAAAACCCUACGAAGGCGAGGUUCCUUAGCUGGUCGGAGAGGAUGAGCGCUCACACUGGGACUGAGACACGGCGCAGAGUCCUACGGGAGGGAGCAGUGGGGAAUAUUGGACAAUGGGCGAAAGCCUGAUCCAGCAAUGCCGCGUGAGUUAUGAAGGCCUUAGGGUUGUAAAGCUCUUUUACCCGGGAUGGUAAUGACAGUACCGGGAGAAUAAGCUCCGGCUAACUCCGUG